AGCUCCAAUAGCGUAUAUUAUUGAUGUUGCAGUUGAAACGUUCGUAGUCGAACUUUGUGUGCAAGGAUCUCUGCACCCCUCGCGGGUCGGAAAUCUAUGCACAUAUGGCGCAACUAGCUGUGCAUGUUUCAUGUAUCAGCUUUUUUGCGUUUUACUUUGAGUGAAUCGGCGUGUUCCACGCAGGCAUGUGCCUUGAACGAUUUACCAUAGCAUAAUUACAGUAUGGAAUUGUCUGAUUGCUUGUUCAAGGGCAUUUCCGAUACUGAUAAGACGGUUGA
RNAcentral lists this ribosomal RNA (278 nucleotides) under uncultured eukaryote. Its description in RNAcentral is "partial small subunit ribosomal RNA". It matches the Rfam family "Eukaryotic small subunit ribosomal RNA", at positions 587 to 881 of the family's 1831-position model. The record is from RNAcentral.